CAGGACAUAGCUAAAGCAGAAUAGCAUAUCCCUUACACUGAUAAAUUCCCCGUGCAACUCGGAGUGUCCUGA
This 72-nucleotide transfer RNA is filed under the name Omobranchus elegans (elegant blenny). Its description in RNAcentral is "tRNA-Val". The record is from RNAcentral. Lineage: Eukaryota; Metazoa; Chordata; Actinopteri; Blenniiformes; Blenniidae.